CGCGCCGUGGCGGCCAGCAGGGGUAUGGAGGUAGAGCAAGGGCCAGCAUGAGGGUGGGCAGCUCCGACAGUGGUAGGAACCGGAACGAACUGCAGGAAUAAGGCCAGCCUCUCUUGGUACGAAGAUGGGGAGACUAAGGCCCAAAGAGGGUCUGAGACUUGCCCAGGGGCGCGCAGCGGGGCGGCCGCCGAGCUGGCCUCUCCCCUGUGUGAUGGGUCUGGCAGAGGCAGAGCCAGAGCCUUCUUGCUGCGCGACUUUGGACAAGACUCUUCCCUGUUCCUUUCCCUGGCUUUUGUUGAAAGAAGUGACAGGUUGGAGCGUUUGGAAAGGUUACCUACGUUUGGAAAGCUUCUGCUUCUCAGUAAGAAAGUUGGAAAGGAAAUUUCCAAGUUGCUGAUAACAAACUUAGGCUGUUUUGGAGCUGAGAAGAGAAGCUGAGAUUGGCUGCAGUGAAAAGAGACAUUGUUUCUGCCCUCUAGAACAGAAGGAAAUGAAAUGACUGAAACUGAAACAUGAAGGACUGAGGUUAGAUACAUAUAGGGACUUCCAAAGAGAAAUUUCGAAGCACCUCCUUUGGAGUUGGUGGGUUUUAUUUUUUGGCUGUUGGUUUUGUUUUGUCAAGAAACGGAAUUUCUACCUAUCCAUUUGAUGGGGCCUAAGUCGGUCUCAGUUCUUCAGAAAGAGCGAGA
Molecule: RNA transcript, 689 nt
Organism: Physeter macrocephalus (sperm whale)
Lineage: Eukaryota; Metazoa; Chordata; Mammalia; Artiodactyla; Physeteridae
Gene name: microtubule organization protein AKNA-like
Exons: 2
Source: RefSeq, a predicted model, not a curated record